GACGAACGCUGGCGGCGUGCUUAACACAUGCAAGUCGAACGGAAAGGCCCUUCGGGGUACUCGAGUGGCGCACGGGUGAGUAACACGUGGGUGAUCUGCCCUGCACUUUGGGAUAAGCCUGGGAAACUGGGUCUAAUACCGAAUAGGACCACGCGCUUCAUGGUGUGUGGUGGAAAGCUUUUGCGGUGUGGGAUGGGCCCGCGGCCUAUCAGCUUGUUGGUGGGGUAAUGGCCUACCAAGGCGACGACGGGUAGCCGGCCUGGGAGGGUGACCGGCCACACUGGGACUGAGAUACGGCCCAGACUCCUACGGGAGGCAGCGGUGGGGAAUAUUGAACAAUGGGCGCAGGCCGGAUGCAGCGACGCCGGGUGGGGGAUGACGGCCUUCGGGUGGUAAACCUCUUUCAAUAGGGACGAAGCGAAAGUGACGGUACCUAUAGAAGAAGCACCGGCCACCUACGG
RNAcentral lists this ribosomal RNA (461 nucleotides) under uncultured bacterium. RNAcentral describes it as "partial 16S ribosomal RNA". It matches the Rfam family "Bacterial small subunit ribosomal RNA", at positions 28 to 506 of the family's 1533-position model. The record is from RNAcentral.